RNAcentral lists this long non-coding RNA (1225 nucleotides) under Nicotiana tabacum (common tobacco). RNAcentral's name for it is "long non-coding RNA (NTAB_LNC009053)". Lineage: Eukaryota; Viridiplantae; Streptophyta; Magnoliopsida; Solanales; Solanaceae. The record is from RNAcentral.
UGUAAAAUGAUCCCACACAAUAGACCUUUUUCUCCUUUUUUUGGUUAUAUUUGACUCCAUUGUUUGAGCUUGACUUGUUGCAUUUGAAUUAGAAGCCCCACUUUCACCCAUCAUUACCUUAUCACUUUGUAUAUUUUUAGCCAUGUAUGAGUCACUGCAACAAGAAAAGAAAAGGAAUGAGAAUAAAAACAUCAAGUUAUAAGCAAUACUAGCGCUUCGUUUGUAUACAAAAGGUCACCAACAUCUUGAGUAUGUAUUUUAGCAAACUAUAUAACCUGGCCCUGUGUGUUCUUUAGCUUAUUUACAAUUAAGUGCUAAGAUUACUACGGGAUUGAAAAGUAAUUUGGACUGUGGACUGGACGUCAUCAGGCCAGCUACCAAACCGUCAUUUCUGAAAAAUUAAUUUGCCUUCCUGCAACUCUACAUUAGUUCCUGCAAGGCUGUAAGUGUAAGAUUACCAUUUACCAAUGACAAAUUCCUUGUUGUUACACCGAGCACACACAAUAUACAUGAGAAAUCAAGCCUUUCUUACAAAUACCAUGUUAUGGAUCUAUUUGCAAUUAAAGACUUCAAGCAUUCACAAGAAUACAUUUUUUUUUGGACAAACGAAUACUCUAGUUAUAGUAUUUUACAUCACUUCCCUUAGAUAUAUAAACAGAAUGUUCUAGUAACUGGGGCAUAAUUUGUCAUAAAAUGCAAAAUUUUGAUUCAGCUCUCAUAGACGGUUACCUUCAAGUUUACUAAAAGCAUCUGCUGGACUUCUUCCACCUACCAGAGACAACAAAAAGUAUUUGUAAUUCAGAAGGCAUAUAAAAGAAUAACCGUGUGCAAUAAUAUUAGAAAAAGAUGAUAGAGGAGAUCAUUUUCAUCCAUAAUUAUAUGAUCAGAAGAUUAUAUGAUAGAAUAAACAACUGCUUAGUGAGUAUACGAUCAAUAUAAAGAAAUAUAUGGCUACGAACCUGAACCAUGAUAUACAUAACCAAUGAUCAGCAAUGCACCCUGAAAUUUACACAAGUGAUAAAAUUAAUGGCUAUUAUAGGAUUGGGUAAUAAGAUCCAAAAAUUAAGAAAACAACGACUGGCACAACAUCAAAUAGCAACAUUUUAUAAACAUUUAGAAGAGUAGCACUGAAAAGGAAAAGGAGAUUGCCUAAGCAAUAACAAAAAUGAGCUCUCCUUUGUGGUAAAGAGGUCCAUGAAUGGAAUGAUAAAUAGCAUGCCGAUUC